UACAGGGGGUGCAAACGUUGCUCGGAAUCAUUGGGCGUAAAGCGCACGUAGGCGGUCUGUUAUGUCGGAUGUGAAAGCCCUUGGCUUAACUGAGGAAGUGCAUCCGAAACUGGCAGGCUAGAGUACUAAAGAGGGUCGCGGAAUUCCCGGUGUAGAGGUGAAAUUCGUAGAUAUCGGGAGGAACACCGGUGGCGAAGGCGGUCUUCUGGACGGUGACUGACGCUGAGGCGCGAAAGCGUGGGGAGCAAACGGG
Molecule: ribosomal RNA, 253 nt
Filed under: uncultured bacterium
Lineage: Bacteria
Description: partial 16S ribosomal RNA
Rfam family: Bacterial small subunit ribosomal RNA
Source: RNAcentral